RNAcentral lists this ribosomal RNA (616 nucleotides) under uncultured bacterium. RNAcentral describes it as "bacterial SSU rRNA". It matches the Rfam family "Bacterial small subunit ribosomal RNA", at positions 8 to 613 of the family's 1533-position model. The record is from RNAcentral.
AGAGUUUGAUCCUGGCUCAGAUUGAACGCUGGCGGCAGGCCUAACACAUGCAAGUCGAACGGUAGCACAGGAGAGCUUGCUCUCUGGGUGACGAGUGGCGGACGGGUGAGUAAUGCAUGGGGAGCUGCCCAAUCGAGGGGGAUACCAGCUGGAAACGGCUGCUAAUACCGCAUACGCCCUGAGGGGGAAAGGUGGGGACCUUCGGGCCUACCGCGAUUGGAUGCACCCAUGUGGGAUUAGCUAGUUGGUGAGGUAACGGCUCACCAAGGCGACGAUCUCUAGCUGGUCUGAGAGGAUGACCAGCCACACUGGAACUGAGACACGGUCCAGACUCCUACGGGAGGCAGCAGUGGGGAAUAUUGCACAAUGGGGGAAACCCUGAUGCAGCCAUGCCGCGUGUGUGAAGAAGGCCUUCGGGUUGUAAAGCACUUUCAGUAGGGAGGAAGGGUUGAUGUCUAAUACGCAUCAACAUUGACGUUACCUACAGAAGAAGCACCGGCUAACUCCGUGCCAGCAGCCGCGGUAAUACGGAGGGUGCAAGCGUUAAUCGGAAUAACUGGGCGUAAAGCGCACGCAGGCGGUUAGAUAAGUCAGAUGUGAAAUCCCCGGGCUCAAC